Molecule: long non-coding RNA, 312 nt
Filed under: Pan troglodytes (chimpanzee)
Lineage: Eukaryota; Metazoa; Chordata; Mammalia; Primates; Hominidae
Description: long non-coding RNA NONPTRT017928
Source: RNAcentral
GAAAUUUUCAAUACAAUAGUGCAUUUUUAAUCCGCAAAAAAUGUUACAAUGGUAGUAUCUAUGCACACAAUAAUAUAAACAUGUAGGAGGUGUGUGUUCACAUUUUUGGAAAUGGACAGAACAAAGGGGAAGAAGCCUGCACCUCAAUACUCAGGGCAGAGACAGGCUUCUUCCCCUUUGUUCUGUCCAUUUCCAAAAAUGUGAACACACACCUCCAACAUGUUUCUGUGUAUAUUAUUGUGUGCAUAGAUACUACCAUUGUAAAAUAUUAUGCAGAUUAAUAAUGCACUAUGCCAUUGAAAAUUUCAAAAG